Molecule: ribosomal RNA, 406 nt
Filed under: uncultured bacterium
Lineage: Bacteria
Description: partial 16S ribosomal RNA
Rfam family: Bacterial small subunit ribosomal RNA
Source: RNAcentral
AUUGAACGCUGGCGGCAGGCCUAACACAUGCAAGUCGAACGAGUGGCGGACGGGUGAGUAAUGUCUGGGAAACAGCCUGAUGGAGGGGGAUAACUACUGGAAACGGUAGCUAAUACCGCAUACCAUCGGAGGAGCCCAGAUGGGAGUAGUUAGUAGGUUGGGUAAAGGCUCACCUAGGAGACGAUCCCUAGCUGGUCUGAGAGGAUGACCAGCCACACUGGAACUGAGACACGGUCCAGACUCCUACGGUAGGCAGCAGUGGGGAAUAUUGCACAAUGGGCGCAAGCCUGAUGCAGCCAUGCCGCGUGUAUGAAGAAGGCCUUCGGGUUGUAAAGUAUUUUCAGCGAGGAGGCGUUACCCGCAGAAGAAGCACCGGCUAACGCCGUGCCAGCAGCCGCGGUAAUUC